RNAcentral lists this ribosomal RNA (253 nucleotides) under uncultured bacterium. RNAcentral's name for it is "partial 16S ribosomal RNA". It matches the Rfam family "Bacterial small subunit ribosomal RNA", at positions 524 to 776 of the family's 1533-position model. The record is from RNAcentral.
UACGUAGGGCGCAAGCGUUGUCCGGAAUUAUUGGGCGUAAAGAGCUCGUAGGCGGCUUGUCACGUCGGGUGUGAAAGCCCGGGGCUUAACCCCGGGUCUGCAUUCGAUACGGGCAGGCUAGAGUGUGGUAGGGGAGAUCAGAAUUCCUGGUGUAGCGGUGAAAUGCGCAGAUAUCAGGAGGAACACCGGUGGCGAAGGCGGAUCUCUGGGCCAUUACUGACGCUGAGGUACGAAAGCUAGGGGAGCAAACGGG